ACUUUUUCAGUAAUAUUUCGACAAGAUUCAGGUAAAAAUUAUAAUGCAUAACCUAACCUAAAUCCACGUCAUUAAUUGUGAUGUGACACUUUCCAACUAAGCACUAUUUCUAGUCACCGUAUAAAAACUGUAUAUUGAAUACUGUAUAUAUUUUGUAAUAACCACCUUAGCAUUAUUUUUACAAAAUUUAAAUAAAUUAAACACGCUCAAUAUUUAUCAGCGAAAUGAACGCCACUAUACAUACAUAUGAAGGAAUGAUGAAAUUUCUAAUGGCGGGAAUAAUGACAUUAUUUUACAAACAGCACAAAAAAUAGACUUGUUCAUUAACCGUUAAU
This 335-nucleotide unclassified non-coding RNA is filed under the name Bombus terrestris (buff-tailed bumblebee). RNAcentral's name for it is "misc RNA ENSBTSG00005036353.1". Lineage: Eukaryota; Metazoa; Arthropoda; Insecta; Hymenoptera; Apidae. The record is from RNAcentral.